GAGGGAUGAGAAAGCAUAAGAGUUUGUCAACUUAAAGUAAAUCAAGAUGUUAGUUAAAGAGUAUGCCUUGAAGUUUCACCAGUUAUCAUGGUAUGCUCUAAAGUUGGUUUCUAUCAUGAGGGCUAGAAUGAGGAAGUUCACUUUCAGGUUGUCCUGAGACUUGCUUUUAGAUAGUAAGUUUGUCUUGUUAAACAAAGAUAUGGACAUCUCUAGAAUAGUUAUGUAUAU
RNAcentral lists this long non-coding RNA (228 nucleotides) under Capsicum annuum. Its description in RNAcentral is "long non-coding RNA (CANN_LNC009683)". The record is from RNAcentral. Lineage: Eukaryota; Viridiplantae; Streptophyta; Magnoliopsida; Solanales; Solanaceae.